RNAcentral lists this ribosomal RNA (556 nucleotides) under uncultured bacterium. RNAcentral describes it as "partial 16S ribosomal RNA". It matches the Rfam family "Bacterial small subunit ribosomal RNA", at positions 355 to 905 of the family's 1533-position model. The record is from RNAcentral.
UGGGGAAUUUUGGACAAUGGGCGAAAGCCUGAUCCAGCCAUGCCGCGUGCAGGAUGAAGGCCUUCGGGUUGUAAACUGCUUUUGUACGGAACGAAAAGACUCUGGUUAAUACCUGGGGUCCAUGACGGUACCGUAAGAAUAAGCACCGGCUAACUACGUGCCAGCAGCCGCGGUAAUACGUAGGGUGCAAGCGUUAAUCGGAAUUACUGGGCGUAAAGCGUGCGCAGGCGGUUAUAUAAGACAGAUGUGAAAUCCCCGGGCUCAACCUGGGAACUGCAUUUGUGACUGUAUAGCUAGAGUACGGCAGAGGGGGAUGGAAUUCCGCGUGUAGCAGUGAAAUGCGUAGAUAUGCGGAGGAACACCGAUGGCGAAGGCAAUCCCUGGGCCUGUACUGACGCUCAUGCACGAAAGCGUGGGGAGCAAACAGGAUUAGAUACCCUGGUAGUCCACGCCCUAAACGAUGUCAACUGGUUGUUGGGUCUUCACUGACUCAGUAACGAAGCUAACGCGUGAAGUUGACCGCCUGGGGAGUACGGCCGCAAGGUUGAAACUCAAA